CGGACUGGUGGCGACCGGCGCACGGGUGCGUAACGCGUAUGCAAUCUACCUUAUACUGGAGGAUAGCCCGAGGAAACUCGGAUUAAUAUUCCAUAGUAUCUAGAAGUGGCAUCACUUUCAGAUUAAAGAUUUAUUGGUAUAAGAUGAGCAUGCGUCUGAUUAGUUAGUUGGUAAGGUAACGGCUUACCAAGACGAUGAUCAGUAGGGGUUCUGAGAGGAUGAUCCCCCACACUGGUACUGAGAUACGGACCAGACUUC
RNAcentral lists this ribosomal RNA (258 nucleotides) under uncultured bacterium. RNAcentral's name for it is "partial 16S ribosomal RNA". It matches the Rfam family "Bacterial small subunit ribosomal RNA", at positions 81 to 339 of the family's 1533-position model. The record is from RNAcentral.